This 484-nucleotide ribosomal RNA is filed under the name uncultured bacterium. Its description in RNAcentral is "partial 16S ribosomal RNA". It matches the Rfam family "Bacterial small subunit ribosomal RNA", at positions 32 to 507 of the family's 1533-position model. The record is from RNAcentral.
AUUUAACGCUGGGGGCAGGCCUAACACAUGCAAGUCGAGCGGAUGAACGGCGCUUUCUUCUGUAUUCAGCUGCGGACGGGUGAGUAAUGCCUAGGAAUCUGCCUGGUAGUUGGGGAUAACGUCCGGUAACGGGCUCUAAUACCGCAUCCUUCCUGCGGUUGACAGUUGUUGAUCUUCGGACUUCACGCUAUCAGAUGAGUCUAGGUCGUAUUAGCUAGUUGUUUGGGAAAAGGCCUACUAAUGCGACGAUCCGUAACUUGUCUUAGAGGAUGAUCAGUCACACUGGACCUGAGACACGGUCCAGACUCCUACGGGAGGCAGCAGUGGGGAAUAUUGGACGAUGGGCGAAAGCCUGAUCCAGCCAUGCCGCGUGUGUGAAGAAGGUCUUCGGAUUGUAAAGCACUCUAAGUGGGGAGGAAGGGCAGUAAGUUAAUACCUUGCUGUUUUGACGUUACCAACAGAAAAAGCACCGGCUAACUUCGUG